Molecule: ribosomal RNA, 508 nt
Filed under: uncultured bacterium
Lineage: Bacteria
Description: partial 16S ribosomal RNA
Rfam family: Bacterial small subunit ribosomal RNA
Source: RNAcentral
GACGAACGCUGGCGGCGUGCCUAAUACAUGCAAGUCGAACGCUUCUUUCCUCCCGAGUGCUUGCACUCAAUUGGAAAGAGGAGUGGCGGACGGGUGAGUAACACGUGGGUAACCUACCCAUCAGAGGGGGAUAACACUUGGAAACAGGUGCUAAUACCGCAUAACAGUUUAUGCCGCAUGGCAUAAGAGUGAAAGGCGCUUUCGGGUGUCGCUGAUGGAUGGACCCGCGGUGCAUUAGCUAGUUGGUGAGGUAACGGCUCACCAAGGCCACGAUGCAUAGCCGACCUGAGAGGGUGAUCGGCCACACUGGGACUGAGACACGGCCCAGACUCCUACGGGAGGCAGCAGUAGGGAAUCUUCGGCAAUGGACGAAAGUCUGACCGAGCAACGCCGCGUGAGUGAAGAAGGUGUUCGGAUCGUAAAACUCUGUUGUUAGAGAAGAACAAGGACGUUAGUAACUGAACGUCCCCUGACGGCAGCUAACCAGAAAGCCACGGCUAACUACGUG